GCAUAUACGCUGUGCUGGUCGCCCACACACAGCAACUGACUUGUAAUCAGUAGGUCCCGGGUUCGACUCCUGGUGUCGGCACCA
Molecule: transfer RNA, 84 nt
Filed under: Halomonas dongshanensis
Lineage: Bacteria; Pseudomonadati; Pseudomonadota; Gammaproteobacteria; Oceanospirillales; Halomonadaceae
Description: tRNA-Thr
Rfam family: tRNA (bases 21-81)
About the family: Transfer RNA (tRNA) molecules are approximately 80 nucleotides in length.
Source: RNAcentral